Molecule: microRNA precursor, 86 nt
Organism: Carassius auratus (goldfish)
Lineage: Eukaryota; Metazoa; Chordata; Actinopteri; Cypriniformes; Cyprinidae
Source: Ensembl
CAGCAGACUGGAUUUAAAGGGAAUUUGCGACUGUUUAGUCACAUUAUUAAAACAGCCACACCUUCCUUUUAAGAUCUUGCCUGCUG